This 368-nucleotide ribosomal RNA is filed under the name uncultured bacterium. RNAcentral's name for it is "bacterial SSU rRNA". It matches the Rfam family "Bacterial small subunit ribosomal RNA", at positions 335 to 696 of the family's 1533-position model. The record is from RNAcentral.
ACUCCUACGGGAGGCAGCAGUGGGGAAUAUUGCACAAUGGGGAAACCCUGAUGCAGCCAUGCCGCGUGUGUGAAGAAGGCCUUCGGUUGUAAAGCACUUUCAGUAGGGAGGAAGGUAGUGUAGUUAACACCUGCAUUAUUUGUACGUUACCUACAAGAAGAAGCACCGGCUAACUCCGUGCCAGCAGCCGCGGUAAUACGGAGGGUGCGAGCGUUAAUCGGAAUUACUGGGCGUAAAGCGCAUGCAGGCGGCCUGUUAAGUCAGAUGUGAAAGCCCGGGGCUUAACCUCGGAAUUGCAUUUGAAACUGGCAGGCUAGAGUCUUGUAGAGGGGGUAGAAUUUCAGGUGUAGCGGUGAAAUGCGUAGAGA